Molecule: transfer RNA, 72 nt
Filed under: Camelus bactrianus (Bactrian camel)
Lineage: Eukaryota; Metazoa; Chordata; Mammalia; Artiodactyla; Camelidae
Also listed under: 2 other names
Rfam family: tRNA
About the family: Transfer RNA (tRNA) molecules are approximately 80 nucleotides in length. Their secondary structure includes four short double-helical elements and three loops (D, anti-codon, and T loops). Further hydrogen bonds mediate the characteristic L-shaped molecular structure. tRNAs have two regions of fundamental functional importance: the anti-codon, which is responsible for specific mRNA codon recognition, and the 3' end, to which the tRNAs corresponding amino acid is attached (by aminoacyl-tRNA synthetases). tRNAs cope with the degeneracy of the genetic code in two manners: having more than one tRNA (with a specific anti-codon) for a particular amino acid; and 'wobble' base-pairing, i.e. permitting non-standard base-pairing at the 3rd anti-codon position.
Source: Rfam by way of RNAcentral
GGGGGUAGAGCUCAGUGGUAGAGCGCCUGCUCAGCACGCACAAGGUCCUAGGUUCAAUCCCAGGUACCUCCC